RNAcentral lists this long non-coding RNA (14915 nucleotides) under Jatropha curcas. Its description in RNAcentral is "long non-coding RNA (JCUR_LNC002726)". Lineage: Eukaryota; Viridiplantae; Streptophyta; Magnoliopsida; Malpighiales; Euphorbiaceae. The record is from RNAcentral.
AGUGAAUAAUCAUUGAACAUUGAUAUCAAGAAUCUUGCCUGUGGUAGAAGCUUUAGGAAUGGUUAUAUACAAAACUCCAUCUUGAACCUCAGCUUUUAUUUUCUCAAACUGUAUGUUCUCAGGUAAUGCAAUUCUGCAUCUAUAUUUCCCAUAGCUCUUAGCAGACCAUCCUCCAUCUUCUUCUUCUUCUUCCUCUAUUCCAUUUUGUGCACCAUUGACAUUAUUUUUCUCGGGCACCUUCUCUGCUUUCAAAACCAACAUCUUCUCUUCAACCCAUACCUUCACAUCUUCUUUAGUCAUUCCAGGCAUGUCAAAUCUCAUCUUGUACUCUGUUUCUCCUUCUUUUAUCUCCCAUGGAGUCCUUCCUCUGCUAUACCCACUUCGUUCAACUGGUGAAGGUGGCUCUGAUGGCCAAGUAGCCGUAUAGACAAAAGGGUCUUCCAUCAUUCUCUCCAUCGUCUCCAUCAUCUGCUGUACUGUUCUAGCUGGAGGAAAUCUGUCCCAUAGCCCUGCAAUUCAAGAUGUUUCUCAAAAUCUUAAAAACCCCACAUUUUACACCUAAAUUUAGACAAUUAAGAGAGAACAAUUAAUUUGUUACUAAUUAAUUAAAUUAAUUACAUACCAACUGGAGCAACAGGAGCCGUUCUUUUCUUGGUUUGGGGUUGUUGGUGGUGCUGCUGCUUGGUGGCUUUCUGUAAAUGAUCAAGAUUGUCUCUAUUUUCUGCUGCCUUUGCUUUGACAAUGAAACGAAGGUUUCUUGAUCGAGCAGAAGUGCUUUUUGAUGAUAAAGGAAGAGAAAAGGUUAAAUUGGAAAGAGCUUGAGACAUUUUUCUAAAGGAAUGAACUCCAAGCUUUUACUUGAUCGGUGGAGAAACACAGAAGGAAUUGGUGACAUGUAAAGAGAGGAGUGGACAUUUCUGGAAACAGCAUUUUGUGAUGUAUAGAAAAUGGGAGUGGCAGAGGACCUUAACGUUCUGGAACUCUCCAGAAAUUCAUUCCUUAACUUCUGGCUGUUUCUGAAAUAAUUUUGUUUCUAAUUAUAGAUAAGCCUUGCUCAAGUACUAUCCGCUUCCUCUCUGUUCUUGAUGUUGACCCUAAUUGGGCCAGUAACUAGGCCAGGCCCAUCCUGGUCCAUCUCCGAAAAUUAUAUAGAAUUUUACCCAAAAAAAUUGAUAUAAAUCCAAUAGGCUUUUCUGAUACCCUCUCCUGAGGAUAAUUUUAGAAUACAAAUUAUUCUUUGUUUAGAUUCCAUUCGAUCCGCAUCCGUACACCAAACUAAUCAAUAAAGAAUUAAAAAAAAAAUAUUACUGUUUUAUUUUUCAUUCAAUAAGUAUUUAGAAAUAUCCUAAUUUGAAUCGAAAAACUGCUUUUAAUUAGCAUAAUAUAUGAAAUGCUGAAUACUCUUCUUCUGGAAAGGGAAGAACUCUCUCUCUUUUCAAACAAAAACAAAUAGUGUUGCAUGAAUUUAUAUUGCAAAUAUUACGUGAUAUUUAUAAAAUAAUUUUCAUCACAUUAAUAAUAAUUAUACAUUUUCACGAAUAAAAAGUAAAAAAAAAAAAAAAAAAAUUUACAAUCCAAAUAUCUUAGCAUAAUUGAUGACUGUCAAAAAGGAAAAAUCUCUUCCAGAUUACUAAAGCCAUCCCAUGAAAGCAAAGAGUCUACAUUAUCAAUCCAAUUCUGCUGAGAUUCUUCUUUGAUGACAGAUUCUUCAAUUCUUGAACAAAAAGAUUCAGAUUUAUCAGUACAAGAGUUCAAAACAGAUCCUGCAUCAAAUUCUUUUCUCAAAGAUUCACUUUCUAUCUGAUAAUCCUUCACUUUUGACUCUUCUUUAGCGGUUUCAGCUUCUUCUGUAUCAAUUCUCUUAUGGGUUUGUGGGUCUAUACCAAGAAUCUUUAGUUUCUUCUUAAUUCUUAUAUUCCAAUGGUUCUUUAUUUCAUUAUCUGUACGGCCUGGAAAAUGUGCAGCAAUUUUAGACCACCUGCAGAAUUAUACAAAAUUUAAUAAUUUCAUACCGUGUGUUUAAUAGUGAUUUAAAAAGUAUAAUCACAAGAAUUAAUUGCAAACCUGUUACCCAAACGCGAAUGGAGUUCGAUUAUUUGAUCUUCUUCUGAUUCUGUUAAAGCUCCUCUUUUAAGAUCAGGCCUCAAUAAAAAGCAUAAUCACAAGAAUUAAUCUCAAUCUGCAACUCUUCCCACACCUUAAUAAACCUACUUAUGUACUUAAUAUUAACCACAGGAACAAGAAAAUAUUUGUCUUUCUGUUACAAAAACAAGAAAUGCCAAGAAGCUAGUUAAUCAAGAGAAGCAACGGCUUUUGUCUGCAAUUAUUGAUGAUAGAGUCCACCUUUAUUUUAAUGGACCACUCAACCCUUCUCUUUUUAACGGUAAAUUGUACAAAGUGAUUAUUAUUUUUAAUAAACAAAUAAACCGUUUGUCUUAUGAAUGUUAAGAUACAUAAUAUGGUAUUUUCACGUGAUCCAAAAUAAUAUUCAAAAAAUACAGUUAAAUAUUUUCGAUGGGGUGAGAUAGGGGUGGCCACGGUUCCGGAACCGGCGGUUCCGGUUCCAAAAAAAUUGGAACCGGAACCGAACCAAAAAUUUCCGAUUCCAAUUCCGGUUUGGAACCGAACGGUUCCGGUUCCGAUACGUUUUCAAAACCGACGGUUCCGAUCGGUUUUCCGACCGGUUUUCCGGCAAUCGCAUAAUUUUAAAUUUUAAAUUUUGAAGACCGGUUUUCAAAAUUUAAUAAAUUUGUGAAAAUUAUUUCUAAAAACAAUACACCUAAAAAACUAAAAAAUGCUUCAAUUAAAUUUAUUUUUUUAAAGACUUGAACAACAACAAAGAAACGCAAACCCAACCAACCCAUUAGGGAAAAAGGAAUUAACAAGAAAAUAAAAAGAUGAUCCAAACCAUUAGCACUUGAUACAAUUGAUAAAAAUAAAAAAAUAAAGAAGAAGAAGAAGCAAAAGACGUGGAGGUAAAAAAGAAAAAGACUUUACCUCUUAGUUCGGUGGUGGGUUUGAAGGGGAAGCCUAUGACUAUUUGAUUUUCUUGAUAGUGUAAAGAAAAUCACAACAAAAUUUAAAAAAAAAAAAAAAAUGGACAAUUUGGCUAGAACCGGCGGUUCUAACCGGCCGAAGAACCGGCGGGGGGGGUGCCGGGGCNNNNNNNNNNNNNNNNUGUGGGGACCCGCCGGUUUGCGGUUCCACAAAUCUAGAACCGGAUCUGAAUCGGAAAUCUCCGGUUCCGGUUCCCUCCGGUUCUAGUUACGGUUCGGGACCGGUUCGAACCGAUGGUUCCGGUUCCGAAAACCGUAAUAUGGCCACCCUUAGGGUGAGAUGAGAUAGUAUAGAUUCUUUUUCUUUUAAUCAGAUAUUUCGAAUUCAAACUCAUUUUAUAUGUCUGCCUAAUGUGAAUUCAAACUAAUCGAGUCAAUGAGCUACGGACACCGAAUCAUAAAAAAAUAAAACAUUGUUGAAUAUUAAAACCUCGAGUUAUAUUUGGACACCACCAACUUUUUGGUUCUAUUGGAUUUUAAAUCAAACACUAAUUUACUUAUAACUUUUAACUUAAAAGAUAAAUUUAACUAAAUUAGAAGUCAAACUAAAAGACCAUCUAUAUUAGGAAAAAAGGUUUUAUAAAUAUUGAAAAUUCAUGAAGAUGUGUGAUUUAUCUCAAUCCAUUGAAAAAGAAAAUCUAUUUUAUCUGGGGAAAAAAAAUGAAAAUUCAGCAAUUACGUAGGAUUUAGUUAUUGAAAUUCAAUUUUUUUAUGGAAAAUUAUUUUUUACAAAUGUAAAAUUUGAAAAAAAAAUAUUAUAGCAAAGUUAAAUAUUGCAUUGGAAAGACAAUAAAUGUUUUCAUAUCUUUUAAGGUUAACUUUUGUAAACUUCUCGAUUUUCAUAUCUUUUCCCUUAUCUUUUCUGGUUCCUUCACGCAUCCAAAAAUAUGCCUCAGAUCUGCUUCACUCGUAGAUCAAAUGAUCGAAAAGAAAUGUAUUUUGCGGAGAUGCAAAGAAGAAAGGAUAGCUUAUCUUCUACAGCACUAAACAAAAUAGGUGAGAGUUGUUCUUCUUCUUUAGCUGAUUUCGCUUCAAAAAAUCAAAGUCUUCCUCAUUAUCUCAUGUCCUGCUUAGACUAUUGGGCUAUCGUUCAUAGAGAACGAUAUCGUUUUCCUUUUACGAAGGCUGAUAUGGCUCGGCUUUUAUCAGCUGAAGAUCUGAUACCAGAGAAAGAAGGGGAACUCAUAGAUAAUCUAGCACAUAACGUUAUCGACGAGUUAAUUCAUCUAGGACUGCUGAUACAAACAUACACAGAUGGAUAUGGGCCUAGUAUUUACUUUAAUGAAUCAUAUGUAAAUUUAUGCGUUGUCGAGGUGGAUGAAGUGGACUUUUUGGCUGAAGCUGCGAAUUUACCUGUACGAGCUAUAAUACAUCAUCACAAGAACAAUAUUCCUCCUGAUUUCAAAACCCUUCAAUUUCGUUCUCUAUUUUUGACUUCAUUCGGAUCUGUUUUAUCUCGGGCCUAUAUGGAAACUAUUUGCAAGUUGCAAUAUUUAUUGGUGUUACGUUUGGGUGGCAGCUCUGCGGAGAGAUUACCUGACGAAGUGGGUGACUUGUUUCACCUGAGAUAUUUGAGCUCGAAAUUGUUUUGGAAGGAUGAACUUCCACAGACAUUAGGCAACCUUCAAAACCUACAAACUUUGGAUAUACUCAGCCCGUUCCCUUUUCAGGGAAUUAGAGUUCCAAGUGGAAUUGGAACAUUGAAAAGUCUUCUUAAUUUAGAUGAAGUAUAUGCUGGAGGCGCCAUUGCCAGUGAACUAAGCUCGUUAACCCAACUGCAACAACUCAGUGUUAACUGUGUGUCUGAAGAUAAUUCCACCCAACUAUUUGCAGCCAUCACGAAGAUGGAAAAUCUUGUCUCCUUGUCACUCAAAGCAGAUGAAUUCUACUCCCUUAAUUCAUCUGUUCUAGAUUUGGAAUCAUUUUCCCCUCCAUCUUCUAUUAAACAUCUGAGGUUAUAUGGUGCCCUUGUUGAAAUGCCUGCUUGGCUUGCCUCCAUGGAAAACCUCACUGUGUUACAUUUAAGGUAUUCCAAUCUAUUAGAGCCUCCAGCCCCUACACUUCAAUUUCUUCCCAAAUUAAAGAUUCUUCGUAUAGAUCGUGCUUAUAAAGUACGCUGCAUCGGUAAAGAGUUCUGUGACACAGGUGGGUUUCCAAAGCUUGAAAUACUUGCUUUCUCUCAGGAGGAUAUCCUAGUGGAGUGGACAGAGAUAGGCCGUGGAGCUUUUCCUAGUUUAAGGCAUCUUGAAUUUUCGUUUUGUCCAAACUUGAGGUUUCUUCCAGAAGGCUUACAGAAUAUUUCUAGUCUUCAGGUGUUGAAUUUGUGUGGUACACAUAUCGACCUUGGAAGGCGAUUACUGAGUGAAGAGAGUUACAAGAUCAAGCAUAUUUCAAAAGUCAGCUUCAGCGUCAACCGGAACGAUUGGUUUAGGCAUGGGGUUCGGUUCUAACCCGAACCGAACCGUACUGUAGAUGAACCGAUACUUGACCAGAACCGGCAGUUCAUAAUUUUGAACUGGAACCGGCGGUUCAAAUACCGGUUAAGGUUCAUGUGAAUGUUAAAAUAUGAAUCGGAACCGGCCCGAAACCGGCGGCUCCGGUCAGGUUCGAACUGGAUGCACAAAAAAAUUGUAGCUUAAAAUUUUUAUAAAAAAAUUUAUAUCACUUGAUUUAUGGUGAAGAGAAGUACAAUGGUAUGUAAAUUAUAAAAAGUGGUGAAAAUAAAUACACAUUUUUUUUUACUUAAUUUAUAUAAAAAAUGGUACAUGAAUAGUUGAUUUAUAAAAAAAAAAAAAAACUUUCAAGUGUAUAAAAAAAGAGUGUAACGGAUAGAUUUUAAUAUGAUAGGUGAUUUUUAUUUAUUUUUUGGUAAAUAAAUUUUAUUCAUUUUUUAAUCAUUUAUUUAUUUAUUUACUGUAAUUUACUAAAUUAUUCAAAAAUAUAGUUGUUAUUUUUCUAUUAUAAGAGACAAUUUGAAAAACUAAUAAAUGAGAAACAUGUAUAAAUAUGUUGAGUUAUUUUUUAUUUCACAACCAAUUAUAUUAUAACUCUUCUCUUAUUCUCAAUCAAAAUUCUCUUAAAUUUUCAUAGUUCAUUAUUCUUUUAUUGCUUUAUUUUCCUUAAUAUUGGAAUUAUCUAUUGUUUAUUUUUUAUUUUCUUACAUCCAAUUCUAAAUUCUUUCUCUAAUCUCAAUUUUUUCCAUUCAUUUGAUUUUUUUAAUAAUUUUCUUAAUAUUUGAAAAUAAUAAUUUUCAACUCAUUUCAUUAAUUUUAUAUUCUAUUUAUAGUUUCUAUAUUAGUGAAUUAGCAAAAUUUGUAAAUUUAAUGUAAUAAUAGUUCUAAAUUAGUUAAUAUAAGUUUUUUUUUUCAAAUUUUAUAAUAAUUUAUUUAGUUCAUAAAAUUUAAACAUUUUAAAAUUAUUAUUUAUUUAUGAAUUCGGAAUCAAAAUUUUAUUAUUUUUUUAAAAAUAUACGUAAUGCCAAAUCGAAUCGAAACCGUAAUUCGAACCGUGCCGAACCGUACUGGAACCGAAAUCGGACCAAAACCGAAAGUUCAAAAGUCGAUUUCGAUUCAAAAUUUUAAACAUCUCGAAUCGGCGGUUCACUAAACCGGCUAUGCCUAGAUUGGUUAAAAAGAAUUAAUAAAACAUAAGUUAAAAAAAAAAAAAAGGAAAACUCUGGAUGUUACUUUAUUUCAUUCGGUGAUUAUAUAUAUAUAUAUAUAUAUAUAUAUAUAUAUAUAUAUAUAUAUAUAUAUNNNNNNNNNNNNNNNNNNNNNNNNNNNNNNNNNNNNNNNNNNNNNNNNNNNNNNNNNNNUAUAUAUUAUAAGUUUUCCUUGAAUGACAAUUAAAAUAUCGGCUACUCCAGGAUGCAAUUCCAUGAUCAGAAUAUUAUUAGCCAGAAAGUUUUGAUUCUCUUUACACCCAAAGCUUCUUACAUAGUACUAACCCAAAAAAGAAAAAAACGUCAUUUAGUUAAACGUCACAUACAUAUAGGAAGUGAAUGAUCAUUGAACAUUGAUAUUGUUGCGGAAUUUAACGUGGUAAUGGAUAAAUAUUUAGUUUUGGUAGUUGAUGAUAAAAUGAGAAGUAAAAUAAUAAAUGGAAGAGACACAAGAUUUACGUGGAAACCCUCCAAUGUAGAGGAAAAAACCAUGGGGCGAGAGAGGAGUAAAUGCACUAUGAAAAAUAUGGAGAUACAAAUGAUUUUACACCCACACAAAAAUACACUCAAGAUAACACCUCACUACACUCAAUGAAUAUGGCAAGAGUGUGUAUAUAUAUGAAAAGGUGGUAUAUGAAGAGAGUGGAUAGUUUUAGAGAAAUGCUCUUGGAGGAUUUCUCUCUUGGAUGAAUUUCAUUUGGUUGGAUGUUAUCAAUUUGCUCCAAGCAAGGUUGCCUUAUAUAGAGUUGUAUCACCAUGUGAACAAAUUUCAAGUUUGCCUUCCAUUGUUGAAGAUGUGCCAUCCUAGUCCAAGUUAGCUCACCAACAUUGAAUUUUCCUAGCCGCCAAAAGACUAGUAUAAACGACAAAAAACAUAUUUCUCAGCCACCAAAAGACUAGUAGUGUGAACCAACAUUGAAGCCACCCAAAGACUAGUAUAAGCCAUGAAAAACAUGUGGCCAACCAAUAUAGACUUGAAGUGUGAAUCUUAGAAUUCUAAGGCAAUUUUAACAAUCUCCACCUUGACUUAAAUUCUAAGAUGAUCUCCUUACAAAAUGAUGUGCAUAUUCCUUUCUCGCCAUGCCCCAAAGGGCCUUUAGAAUUGGUGAACACCGAUCAAGUCCAAGCAAUGCUUGAACUUGAGAUUUGGAACUGGUUUCGUGAGCAUAUCCGCAGGAUUAUGAGUUGUAGCAAUUUUCUUCACGAUGAUCUUCCCAUCUGCCACAACAUCCCGAAUAAAAUACUGCCUCACAUCAAUGUGCUUGGUUCUUUCAUGAUACAUUUGAUUUUUAGUUAAAUGAAUAGCACUUUGACUAUCACAAAAUACAGUAACAACAUCUUGGGUUAAACCAAGAUCAGUAACCAAACCUCUUAACCAGAUUGCUUCUUUGACUCCUUCAGUGAUUGCAAUAUAUUCUGCCUCCGUAGUUGACAGUGCCACAACAAUAUAUUCCAGCUAAUGGCAGAAUUGCAUAAAGUAAAUACAUAACCUGACAAAGACCUUCUCUUAUCAAGAUCACCUGCAUAAUCAAAGUCAACAUAUCCAACAACAAUAUUCGGUGUUACCUUAUUCCUAUCAAAAACCAAACCAGUAUCCGCAGAACCUUUCAAGUAGUGGAAUAUCCAUUUAACUGCUUGCCAGUGUUCUUUACCUGGAUUACUCAUGUACCUGCUCACAACACUAACUGCCUGUGCAAGAUCAGGUCUAGUGCAUACCAUAGCAUACAUAAGACUACCAACUGCACUAGAAUAGGGCACAUGUGACAAUUGCUCUUUCUCUUCAUUAGACUGAGGGCANNNNNNNNNNNNNNNNNNNNNNNNNNNNNNNNNNNNNNNNNNNNNNNNNNNNNNNNNNNNNNNNNNNNNNNNNNNNNNNNNNNNNNNNNNNNNNNNNNNNNNNNNNNNNNNNNNNNNNNNNNNNNNNNNNNNNNNNNNNNNNNNNNNNNNNNNNNNNNNNNNNNNNNNNNNNNNNNNNNNNNNNNNNNNNNNNNNNNNNNNNNNNNNNNNNNNNNNNNNNNNNNNNNNNNNNNNNNNNNNNNNNNNNNNNUCAUCAACAUAUAACAAUAAGUAGACAAAAGAUCCAUCUGAAAACUUCUUGUGAUAAACACAAUUAUCAUACUGACUACGACAAUACCCAUGCUCAACCAUAAAGGAAUCAAACCUUUUGUACCAUUGUCUUGGGGACUGUUUUAGUCCAUAAAGAGACUUCUUCAAGUGACAAACAUAGUCUUCUUUUCCAGGAACAACAAAUCCUUCUGGUUGUUGCAUAUAAAUCUGCUCCUCGAGCUCUCCAUGUAAGAAAGCAGUCUUGACAUCAAGUUGUUCUAAUUCAAGAUCCUGCAAGGCAACAAGGGCAAGAAGUACACGUAUAGAAGUGUGACGAACAACAGGAGAAAACACUUCAUUAAAGUCUACACCAUGUUUUUGAGUGUAGCCUUUAGCAACUAAACGUGCUUUAUAUCUUGCAUCUUCAACUCCGGGAUUGCCUUCUUUCUUCUUAUAGACCCAUUUACAGCCUACAACUCUUUGGCCUUUUGGCAAUUUCACCAACUGCCAAGUAUCAUUCUUGUGCAGAGAUUCUAUUUCUUCUUGCAGCGAAACGUGACACUCAGAAGAAUUAGGACAUGAGAUUGCUUCAGAGUAUAUGUGAGGUUUUCCACCUUCAACUGUAUCCUCUGCAACAGCAAGAGCAUAAGCAACCAAAUUCCCUUCAUUAUAUCUUUCAGGCCGUUUGAUUUCUCUCCUGGAUUUAUCUCUAACAAUAGAAUAGUUUUCACGACGAUCUGGUUCAGUGGAAUCAGGAACCUCCGAUGUGAUCCGAGAUGAGGAAAUAUUCUCUUCGCUAUGAGUUGGUAUCUCAAAUUCAAGCUCCACCUUCUCGUCAGUUUUCUUUGAAUCACCUGUGUCAGACGGAGAAGAACUGACAGUUUCUUUUUCAGGGAGAAUUAGCACAUUUUCAUUGAAAGUAACGUCCCUACUGAUAAUUACUUUCUUAAGUUCAGGACACCACAAGCGAUACCCUUUCACACCAGAUGCAUAACCAAUAAAUAUGCAUUUUCGAGCUCUAGGCUCUAAUUUUCCCUGAUUUACAUGUGCAUAUGCAGGACAUCCAAAAAUUUUUAAAUUCGAAUAAUCAAUAGGAUUACCUGACCAAACUUCCUCUGGAAUCUUGAAGUCGAGUGAUGUGUGUGGGGAACGAUUCACCAAAUAACAUGCGGUAGAUGCAGCUUCGGCCCAAAAUUCUUUAGGCAAGGCAUCAUUAGAGAGCAUGCAAUAAACUCUCUCCAUCAAUGUCCUGUUCAUUCGUUCUGCAACUCCAUUUUGUUGAGGCGUACCGGCAACCGUGCGGUGACUCACAAUUCCUUCAUUUUCGCAGAACGCAUUGAAAUCACCUCCACAAAACUCUAGACCAUUAUCGGUCCUGAGUCGCUUGACCUUCUUCCCUGUCUGGUUUUCCAUCAAAAUCUUCCACUUCUUAAAAGUGGAAAAAACUUCAUCUUUGUGCUUUAAAAAAUAAGCCCAGAUUUUACGAGAAAAAUCAUCAAUAAUGGUUAGCAUGUAACGAUGUCCUCCUUUUGAAGGAACACGUGAGGGUCCCCAAAGAUCUGAAUGAAUAUAGUCAAGAGUACCUUUGGUUCUAUGAAUUCCGGUACCGAAAGUUAAUCUUUUCUGUUUACCGAGAAUGCAAUGUUCACAGAACUCCAACCUACCGGUAUUCUGACCGCACAAAAGACCUCUCUUGCUCAGGAUGGUCAUUCCUUUUUCACUCAUAUGGCCAAGAUGCCAUAAUUUUGUGACGUCUGAAUCUGACAUAGAUAAUGAUACAGNNNNNNNNNNGAACUUGUAACAGUAGAUCCUUGCAACACAUACAAACUCCCAAAUCUGUUAGCUUUCACUAAAAUAAGAGCACCUUUAGAGACCUUUAGAACUCCACCUUCAGCUGCAUAUUUACACCCAAGGGACUCCAGGGUGCCAAGAGAGAUAAGGUUCCAUUUCAAGUCGGGAACAUGUCUAACACCGGUUAAAGUUCUAAUCAUGCCAUCAUGCAUUUUAAUUCUAAUUGUUCCUUUUCCAAUAACUUUACACUGAGCAUUUUUCCCCAUUAAGACAAUACCACAAUCAACAGAUUCAUAAGUGGUAAACCAAUCUUUAUGGGGACACAUGUGAUAGGAACAAGCAGAAUCUAGAAUCCACUCCGUUUUAGAUCUAGUUCCAAAAUCAGUAACAGACAAAACUUCACCUUCAGACUCUUUUUGAGCAAUACUUGCUUCAGCUGAAUUUUCUGAAUUCUUCUGAUUAUUAUUUUCGCCUUUUUGCUACUUAUUUUCCAACUUAAAGCAUUCUAAAAUUGCAUGUCCCUUUUUCUUGCAAUAGCGACAAAAUUUCUUAUUAUCUCGGCCUCUAGACUUUGAUCUGGAUUUACUUCUACUGCUACUACCAUGAUCCAUAGUUCUCCCCCUAACAAUUAACCCUUCAGCUUCAUCCUUUGAAUUAUUCUCAUAGUCAUAUUUUUCUUUUGACAAGAGAUUUUGUUUGACAUCAUCAAAGGUUAGGGUCUCAUUACCACCGUAUAACAUAAUAUCUUUAAAGUUACGGUAUGACCGGGGAAGUGAGUAAACUAACAAAACAGCUUUAUCUUCAUCAUUGAUUUCAACAUCUAAAUUUUCCAAAUCAACUAUGAUGGAAUUAAACUCAUCAAGGUGAGUUUGAAUGGGUGUACCUUCGACCAUCUUAAUGGUAUAGAGGCGCUCCUUGAAACGAAUCUUGUUGGCAAGNNNNNNNNNNNNNNNNNNNNNNNNNNNNNNNNNNNNNNNNNNNNNNNNNNNNNNNNNNNNNNNNNNNNNNNNNNNNNNNNNNNNNNNNNNNNNNNNNNNNNNNNNNNNNNNNNNNNNNNNNNNNNNNNNNNNNNNNNNNNNNNNNNNNNNNNNNNNNNNNNNNNNNNNNNNNNNNNNNNNNNNNNNNNNNNNNNNNNNNNNNNNNNNNNNNNNNNNNNNNNNNNNNNNNNNNNNNNNNNNNNNNNNNNNNNNNNNNNNNNNNNNNNNNNNNNNNNNNNNNNNNNNNNNNNNNCGUGGUAAUGGAUAAAUAUUUAGUUUUGGUAGCUGAUGAUAAAAUGAGAAGUAAAAUAAUAAAUGGAAGAGACACAAGAUUUACGUGGAAACCCUCCAAUGUAGAGGGAAAAAACCACGGGGCGAGAGAGGAGUAAAUGCACUAUGAAAAAUAUGGAGAUACAAAUGAUUUUACACCCACACAAAAAUACACUCAAGAUAACACCUCACUACACUCAAUGAAUAUGGCAAGAGUGUGUAUAUAUAUGAAAAGGUGGUAUAUGAAGAGAGUGGAUAGUUUAGAGAAAUGCUCUUGGAGGAUUUCUCUCUUGGAUGAAUUUCACUUGGUCAAUUUGCUCCAAGCAAGGUUGCCUUAUAUAGAGUUGUAUAACCAUGUGAACAAAUUUCAAGUCUUCCUUCCAUUGUUAAAGAUGUGCCAUCCUAGUCCAAGUUAGCUCACCAACAUUGAAUUUUCUUAGCCACCAAAAGACUAGUAUAAACCACAAAACAUAUUUCUUAGCCACCAAAAGACUAGUAUAAACCACAAAACAUAUUUCUUAGCCACCAAAAGACUAGUAUAAACCACAAAACAUAUUUCUUAGCCACCAAAAGACUAGUAGUGUGAACCAACAUUGAAUCCAUCCAAAAACUAGUAUAAGCCAUGAAAAACAUGUGGCCAACCAAUAUAGACUUGAAGUGUGAAUCUUAGAAUUCUAAGGCAAUUUUAACAGAUAUCAAGAAUCUUGCCAGUGGUAGAAGCUUUAGGAAUGGUUAUAUACAAAACUCCAUCUUUAACCUCAACUUUUAUUUUCUCAAACUGUAGGUUCUCAGGUAAUGCAAUUCUGCAGCUAUAUUUCCCAUAGCUCUUAGCAGACCAUCCUCCAUCUUCUUCUUCUUCCUCUAUUCCAUUUUGUGCACCAUUGACAUUAUUUUUCUCGGGCACCUUCUCUGCUUUCAAAACCAACAUCUUCUCUUCAACCCAUACCUUCACAUCUUCUUUAGUCAUUCUCAGGCCUAAAAUAUGCCUCAAAUCUGCUUCACUCGUGAAUCAACUGAUCGAAAAGAAAUUUAUUUUGCGGAUAUGCAAAGAAGAAAGGAUAGAUUAUCUUCUACAGCACUAAACGAAAUAGGUGAGAGUUGUUCUUCUUCUUCAGCUGAUUUCGUUUCAAUAUGUCAAAGUCUUCCUCAUUCUCUCAUGUCCUGCUUAGACUAUUGCGCUAUCGUUCUUAGAGGACUAUAUCGUUUGACGAAGGCUGAGAUGGCUCGGCUUCUAUCAGCUGAAGCUCUGAUACCAGAGAAAGAAGGGGAACUCACAGAUAAUGUAGCAAAUAACGUUAUUGACGAGUUAAUUCAUCUAGGACUGCUGAUAGAAAUACACAAAGAGUUACAUAGUUUUGAAUAUGGCCUUUGUAUUGACGUUAAUGAACCAUAUAUAAAUUUAUGCGUUGUCAAGGUGGAUGAAGUGGAAUUUUUGGCUGAAGCUGCGAAUUUAUCUGUACGAGCUAUAAUACAUCAUCAUCAGAACAACAUUCCUCCUGAUUUCAAAACCCUUCAAAUUCGUUCUCUAUUUUUGACUGCAUUCGGAUCUGGUCUUUCUCAGGCCUAUAUGGAAACUAUUUGCAAGUUACAAUAUUUAUUGGUGUUACAUUACCUGACGAAGUGGGUGACUUGUUUCACCUAAGAUAUUUGGGCUCGAAUUUUUCAUAUAUGGAUGAACUUCCACAGACAUUAGGCAACCUUCAAAACCUACAAACUUUGGAUAUAAUAGCCUAUGGAACGCUGAAGGAAUUGCCUUUACAAGUCUUGAAUAUUCAACGGUUGAGACACAUCAAUAUCAUAAUACGCAACCCGUUCACUUCAAGGGGAAUUAGAGUUCCAAGUGGAAUUGGAACAUUGAAAAGUCUUCUUACUUUAGGUGCAGUAUAUGCUGGAGGCGUCAUUGCCAGUGAACUAAGCUCGUUAACCCAACUGUAACAACUCAGUAUUGGCCGUGUGUCUGAAGAUAAUUCCACCCAACUAUUUGCAGCCAUCACGAAGAUGGAAAAUCUUGUCUCCUUAUCACUCAAAGCAGAUGAAUGCUACUCCCUUAAUUCAUCUGUUCUGGAUUUGGUAUCAUUUUCCCCUCCAUCUUCUAUUAAACAUCUGAGGUUAUAUGGUGCCCUUGUUGAAAUGCCUGUUUGGCUUGCCUCGAUGGAAAACCUCACCGUGUUACAUUUAAGUUAUUCAAAUCUAUUAGAGCCCCCAGCCCCUACACUUCAAUUUCUUCCCAAAUUAAAAGUUCUUCGUAUAGGUCGUGCUUAUAAAGUACACUGCAUCGGUAAAGAGUUCUGUGACGCAGGUGGGUUUCCAAAGCUUGAAAAACUUAUUUUCUAUCAUGAGGAUUUCCUAGUGGAGUGGACAGAGAUAGUCCGUGGAGCUUUUCUGAGUUUAAUGCAUCUUGAAUUUUCGUUUUGUCCAAACUUGAGGUUUCUUCCAGAAGGCUUACAGAAUAUUUCUAGUCUUCAGGCGUUGAAUUUGUAUAAUACACAUAUGGACCUUGAAAGGCCAUUAUUGGGUGAAAAGAGUUACAAGAUCAAGCAUAUUUCAAAAGUCAGCUUCAUCGAUUGCUGAAAAUGUGAGAGAAUUAGUACAAAAUAAGUUAGAAAAAAGAAAACUCUCAUAUGUUACUUUAUUUCGUUAGGUGAUUCUACAAUGGUAGUUAUUUUUUUUAUAUAAGUUUUUCUUAAAUGACAAUUAAAAUAUCGGCUACUCCAGGAUGCAAUUCCAUGAUCAGGAUAUUAUUAGCCAGAAAGUUUUGGUUCUCUUUACACCCAAAGCUUCUUACUCGGUACUAACCAAAAAAAAAAAAAAGUCAUUUAGAUAAACUUCACAUGCAUAUAGGAAGUGAAUGAUCAUUGAACAUUGAUACCAAGAAUCUUGCCAGUGGUAGAAGCUUUAGGAAUGGUUAUAUACAAAACUCCAUCUUUAACCUCAGCUUUUAUUUUCUCAAACUGUAUGUUCUCAGGUAAUGCAAUUCUGCAGCUAUAUUUCCCAUAGCUCUUAGCAGACCAUCCUCCAUCUUCUUCUUCUUCCUCUAUUCCAUUUUGUGCACCAUUGACAUUAUUUUUCUCGGGCACCUUCUCUGCUUUCAAAACCAACAUCUUCUCUUCAACC